Molecule: ribosomal RNA, 450 nt
Filed under: uncultured bacterium
Lineage: Bacteria
Description: partial 16S ribosomal RNA
Rfam family: Bacterial small subunit ribosomal RNA
Source: RNAcentral
CCUACGGGUGGCUGCAGUAGGGAAUAUUGGACAAUGGGCGCAAGCCUGAUCCAGCCAUGCCGCGUGAGUGAAGAAGGCCCUCGGGUUGUAAAGCUCUUUUGUCCGGAAAGAAAAGCAAUCGGUUAAUACCCGGUUGUUCUGACGGUACCGGAAGAAUAAGCACCGGCUAACUUCGUGCCAGCAGCCGCGGUAAUACGAAAGGUGCAAGCGUUACUCGGAAUUAGCGGGGGUGAAUCGUGCGGUCUGAUGUGAAAGCCCUGGGCUCAACCUGGGAAUGGCAUUGGAUACUGGCGGGCUAGAGGGCGGUAGAGGGUAGUGGAAUUCCCGGUGUAGCAGUGAAAUGCGUAGAGAUCGGGAGGAACAUCUGUGGCGAAGGCGACUGCCUGGACCAGCACUGACACUGAGGCACGAAAGCGUGGGGAGCAAACAGGAUUAGAUACCCGGGUAGUC